RNAcentral lists this non-coding RNA (21 nucleotides) under Arabidopsis thaliana (thale cress). The record is from RNAcentral. Lineage: Eukaryota; Viridiplantae; Streptophyta; Magnoliopsida; Brassicales; Brassicaceae.
GGGGUAUUACCGAAGGUUCGU